RNAcentral lists this ribosomal RNA (443 nucleotides) under uncultured bacterium. RNAcentral describes it as "partial 16S ribosomal RNA". It matches the Rfam family "Bacterial small subunit ribosomal RNA", at positions 339 to 795 of the family's 1533-position model. The record is from RNAcentral.
CCUCGGGAGGCAGCAGUGGGGGAUAUUGGACAAUGGGGGGGAACCCUGAUCCAGCGACGCCGCGUGAGUGAAGAAGUAUUUCGGUAUGUAAAGCUCUGUCAGCAGGGAAGAAAGCAAUGACGGUACCUGACCACGAAGCCCCGGCUAACUACGUGCCAGCAGCCGCGGGAAUACGUAGGGGGCAAGCGUUAUCCGGAAUUACUGGGUGUAAAGGGAGCGUAGACGGCUUUGCAAGUCUGGAGUGAAAGGCGGGGGCCCAACCCCCGGACUGCUCUGGAAACUGUAUGGCUGGAGUGCAGGAGAGGUAAGCGGAAGUCCUAGUGUAGCGGUGAAAGGCGUAGAUAUUAGGAGGAACACCAGUGGCGAAGGCGGCUUACUGGACUGUAACUGACGUUGAGGCUCGAAAGCGUGGGGAGCAAACAGGAUUAGAUACCCGAGUAGUC